RNAcentral lists this non-coding RNA (24 nucleotides) under Arabidopsis thaliana (thale cress). Lineage: Eukaryota; Viridiplantae; Streptophyta; Magnoliopsida; Brassicales; Brassicaceae. The record is from RNAcentral.
CCACUCGACCUCGGCGCCACCGUC